Long non-coding RNA from Dicentrarchus labrax (European seabass), 2797 nucleotides. RefSeq lists it as uncharacterized. The record is from RefSeq and is a predicted model, not a curated record. Lineage: Eukaryota; Metazoa; Chordata; Actinopteri; Moronidae. The transcript is spliced from 2 exons.
UGUGUGUGUGUGUGUGUUUGUGUGUGUGUGUGUGUGUGUGUGUGUGUGUGUGUGUGUGUGUGUGUGUGUGUGUGUGUGUGUGUGUGUGUGUGUGUGUGUGUGUGUGGGUGUGUGUGGGUGUGUGGGUGGGUGUGGGUGUGUGUGGGUGUGUGGGUGGGUGUGGGUGUGGUAAUGAAGGAACCUGUCACUCAGUGCAUUGUGGUUCAUUUGAAUAGUUUUUGGACAGAAAUGGAGCGCUAUGGCGCAGGAGGGAGGGAGGGAGGGAGAAGAUCAACCAGGCUGUGAUACACACACAAUACUUGUUAGUAGAUACAUAAAUUGUUGGUUUUGGUCUUUUAAUGACACUAAGAAAACGUUUUAAAGUGAAUUGUAGUCAUUUGAAAGUAAUCCUAAAUGCUGUCUGUUGUACUCUGGAGAUUUGAGAAUGAAAUCUAAUACAAACAUACUGCUUUUAAAAUCCUAGAUUACCUUCCCUUUUUCCACAAAAAGUGGGAAAUUGUGUGUUUAUAGCCUGGGUCGUAACACUAACAUUGCACUUAUUAAAGUGUUGGCACUCAAUACUGGAGCCAGCAAUCUACUGUGGACGAUUUUAGUAUAACUUCCUUCACCAAAGUCGAGUUAUAAGAGAAAUCUGAUGUCGUUUUUUCCUAAAUGCAACCGUCAGAGGGGCCGCAGCAAGGCUCAAGCUCAUAAUGCAAGAAAUAAGUUCAGUGUCGCAUUAAAAAUUCCAGCUCAGUAAAUAUUUUAUGUCAGAACCGACACAAUUUUUCAGACCUCCAUUUGAGAUACUCAUCGCCUCUGGGUGAUAGAUUUACUACAGCUUAGGCAGCACCGAGGCCCCGGUUCAGUUCAGAAAUGUUAAUAGAAACUGUUGGACUGUCAGUCAUUUAUAUUGCAUAGGACAGAACUCUAGCCAAAGGAUGUUUUUGGAGUACAUUAAACUUGAGGAUUUACGUUUUUUACUAAGUUACAUAACAUUGGAGAGCUGUUUUCUCAUUUAAAUGGAGGAGAAUGCUUUACAUUUCAAAGUCUGACCUGUGUCCUGCAACAAAGUCACUGUAGUUUUCAUGACGGCAGACUAGGACAAAUGCAGUAAAGUAGAUUUAUCCCUGUUUGUUAUCAAAAGAACGGGCCACACUGAUAUAAUUCUCAAGCGUAUAUGCAUUGGUAAAGUAACAACCCCCUCUGUAGUAAUCAGUGAUUGAUAGUUUUGGUUUUUGUUAUGGAGGUGCUUUUUAUUCAGCACAGGGUAAUGGCACCACCUGCUGGAGGACAGUUACAGUGCAGCACGGAUUCUAAUUGGUCCAUGGUCGAAUAACUGAUCUCAGCUCAGUGUGAAACAGAGGUGGAGACGGACACAGUUUGAGUAGAUGGUGAAAUUGAUUUGGAUGAAUCUUAUCAGAAUUUAUUGCACUGUGAUUAUCUUUUUUUUUUUUUCUUAAUUAUAUUUUAUAUGGGUGUUCAUCUUUCCAGAUAUGGGGAAGAAAAAUGUAAAGUCAUUAUAGAUCAACUUGGGAAUCAGACAUUUCAGGCCUCACGCUGAGAAUGACGGAUUUAUUUCACAGGUGCAACACAACGUGUUUGGACGUGCUUUACGUCACACACAGUUCAUCACAGUUCUGCACUUUAAACUGUGUGUGGAACAAACGCAGCGCUGCGACGGCAGGCUGUUAUGCAUCAGUUUAACCACGUUUUCAUGAGCAAGCAGGUCCUAACCUGAAUAUUGGUGUUAAUUUUCAAUAAUGUGGCAGUUGUAGGUUUUUGUUGGGUUUAGUUUUCUAUGCUGUAGUGGGAGAUUUCAAGCGGCAGGCUCACUGUUUGAUGAUGUAGUCGUGCGGAAUUGUUAUGUUGAAAAGUUUUUCUUUUUGGUUUUUGUUUUGCAGUCAAACAUGCUGACACUUGUUUGAAAUGUUGAAUCUGGCCAUUUCAUGCAGUUUUCUGAAAUGUUGACAUUGGCCAAAGGCUCCGCUGCUUGUGGUAAACGCCUAUUAUCAAUAUUAUCACCGGUUUGUUGAACAGUAAAUGUUGCAGAGUAGCCAACUGUGUAUGCCUGCUUCUUGAAAACUCUCCCAAGAAUAUGUUACUACUUUUCACUGCCACAGAAUUGCUAGGAAAUCCCACUCAGUUUACGAGUCCAUGCGCAGUAUCGCUGGUUCUGGACGACCCUUGUUACUGUGAGGGCCAUGUUUUGUGCCGAUGCAUUUUCCAGAUGAUCCUAUGAGUUUUUAAAUGAUUUCUUUAGUUUAUAAAGUAGAGAGGUUUCCUUCACUCACAAAGACACAGGUAAUCCUUCAAUUUAUCAGAAAAAAAUCCUGGUUUUUAUUGGGCAGCCACAGGAUUUGAACCUGUGAUAUUCGGUAUUAAGUGUUCCUCCAAAAAUCCCCUUACUGCUCUCAUUUUACCAGAACUGAUCGAUAUCUUUUUUUUUUUACCAUAUUCUGCUCUACUCUGAAAUGUCUGACCGGUAACUCGGUAACCGGUCGAUAAUUGAGUAAACAAAUAUUUAUUUGGUCCGUCCUAGACCAGGGAUACUGUAUUUGGUUUCCCGAGCUGAGUGGAGUUUCCUAUAAUCAUGUAAGCUACUAAUGAUGCAUUGUGAUAGUGAUGAACAGAAGUUCAGUCAGUAGCCUAUAUUCAGAUAUCUUGUUUUGAGUAGCCACUGUGCAGUAUGUCCAACAUGUGACCCAAACAUGGCUGGUGUUUUGUUUUCAUGUAUCAAACAGCUGUGAUCACUACAGCAGCUCUGGACUCACCAUGUUCACUAUGACAAGGAUUAAACUUUUCUCCUGGAAACAAA